GUUGCUUCUGGUAUCUGGGGUGUCCCACCGCUACCCCCAUGUGAGUGCCUGGCACAUAUAGAUACUUGAUACCUGCUUGCUGAAUAAAUGAAUAAGUGCAACUUGACUGGAUGAUGAGAGGCACAGCUGAGUCCGGAGCAGACUGAGCCACCUAAGAGGGGAGGAACCGCUGCAGAGAAACCGUGUUAAGCCUUUUUGAAGUUCCAGAGGGAGAACAAGAGAGCGGAGGCUCCUGGUGGCUGGUGACAGCUGCUCUUGGCUGGGAGAGCAGAGAACAGGGGACAGGAGAGAAGCCCCGAGAGUACUGAAGCUGAGGCUGGGGCGGUCUUCACUUCCCUCUUUCCUCGGCCCUUUUCCUGUUCUCUUGUCUUGUCUCUCUUUCUCUACUUUCCUUCUCCCUAGCCCAGUCUCUCACCGCUCUUCAGCCUCUGGGCCUUUCCUUCUUCCUCUCUUGCCCUCAUUCUUCCUUCUCUGUCCCUCUUGUCUUCUCUUUUACCUCUUCUCUUCUUCCCUCCUUCCUACAGCUAUGCCCUCUUCCCUCCUUUCUCUUGUCCCCAACCAGGGCAUUAGAAAUGCAUUCCAGUUACACUGAUCUGAUCACUGCAUAUUGUAUGCAUGCAUCAAAAUAUCACAUGUACCCCAGAAAUAUGUAAAUUACUGCAUAUCAAUAAAAAGAAAUGUAGCUUCUUUGCCUCACAUACAGAAAAGCCAAUCUGAAGUAUAAAUAAAUAAACAAACAAAUAAAUAAAACGAACCACACUGGCCCCCCCG
RNAcentral lists this long non-coding RNA (771 nucleotides) under Homo sapiens (human). RNAcentral describes it as "non-protein coding LINC01141:13". Lineage: Eukaryota; Metazoa; Chordata; Mammalia; Primates; Hominidae. The record is from RNAcentral.